GCCGUCUGUGCUCUUUCCUGUCAGAACUCACUCCCAGCCACCCAAGAGCUGGCGACACAAUGUGAGGGAGCAAGAGGUGAACCCUGCUGUGUGGUCCCACUUUGGUGCAGGGAUUUGCGCAGGAAAGGAUCUGCUCAUGAAAGAGUUCCUUCCAGGGUCUCCCUGCCUCUGAAGACUGCUGGACUGGUGGAGGUCCAUUUGCUUUCUAGAAGACAGAAUUUCCAGAAGGAACUCAUCUGGUGGAUGGGGGCAUUGGUUGGUUCUCAAGGCCCUUUGCAAAGAAAGGCAAACAAUGAAAGAAUGUGAAAAAUGCUUUUGGGAGAGAGAAAAUUACACUCCUUUCAAAAUACCCGAAGGAAAGAAAGGUGCUUGUGGGUAUCUUGCGUGCAGCUACAGAACACGGAUGCUUGAGGGCUGGAAGCAUAACAACCUGAGUAACUCCGGUGACAAAUGUGCUGUUACAUGGCCUGGAGCACAGGAGCACAGGAGCACCAGCAAGUGGCAUUUCCAAAAGUCAGUGGGGGCCUGGGGACCUCUGCAGCUGCUGUGCUGAAGUGACAGGUAGGAAGUCGUGCUGUGGUCGGCUGUCACUAUCAUGCUUGGCUGCCAGACCUGCCAUUGCUGGGCUCUUAGGUCUUCAGGGGUCUCUCUAUGGAAAAUGUGUUCAGAGUCAAAUAAACCAGGAAUUUGAAACAGCUGUGAUUCUCAGCAGGGAGAAGCACUGAAAGAAGCUGUCUUGAAGACUUGUUAGGAAGCUGAAUCCAAAUUUCCAGCAGGAGCCAGAGGGGGCAUUUGGAUGCCCUUACAGGGGGUCCAUGGAUCCAAAUUAAGGCCAAAAAGGGAUAUAAGAAAACAUUCUACAGAAGAAGAGCUAGUUGGAUUCUUGUACAUACAAAAGUCAAAGUUGCUAGGAAAUGCAAAAUGCAAAGCAAAUGACAAAUCCAGACCACCCAAUUUCUAAGACAUACCUAGAGUGCAAGAAACAUUACAUAAAAUUAGAACAGCUGUCCUGUCUCAAACAGCAGGUUCACUGGGCCUAGUACUCUGAUAACAGCUUGGUUUGGGAAAAGGACCUCAAGGUUCUUAGAAUUUGUUUAACUCCCACAUUCAUCCUUCAAAGGUACAGAAAUACCUCAAAGCUUACAUACUUAAUAUUUGCAUGCUGUAGUACUGUUUUUAGUCUUUUCUGAACACUUGCCCUGGCCCUAAACUUCUCUCUAGCACUUGAUCUCGGAGUCUCUUAGCCUUAGUUUCCAGCUAUUGCUGACUUUAUUUAUUUCUUCAUUCUACAACCUCUUUUUAGCCACAACGGAGACCUAGGAUUUCACAUUUUAAUCUGUGUUCUGAUUAUACCUCAGUUUCUCCCCAUUUGUCCAGCUCUGAGCAUUCUGCUUAUGAUUUCAUAGCCCUAUAAAACCUAGAUCCAUGUUUUGUUUUUUACAGUGGGUAAACGCUAUUUUAAAUGCACUGAAGCUAGGGGUGUUUUUAUUUGUCUUCUCCCCCAGAUGUUUGGUUUCUUACUUAAGGUGCUUUAGCUCUGAAAUUACUGUAUUGGUUUGUUUAGAGACUUAAUUUGAGACAAUUUCUCAACUGGUUCCCAUUAUGAAUUUUUCUAGUGUGUGAAUGGCCCUUAGCCUUUGAAUUACCUCAGCAUUCGCUAAUCAAAUUUUUCUCUACUUUUUUGUUUUCCUAUUUUUUUUUCUCUAUGGCCUUAUCUUACACCCUCAUCACUUCUCUGAUUGACUGACACCCUUUUCAUCCUCUGCUGUGUUAGUUUUCUUACUUGCAUUGAAAUGUUUCACCAGAUCUUUCUGGCUUGCCUUACUGUAUUUUCAAGUUUAACUUGCUGGAACUUGAAUUAUUUUCUAGCUUCCUAAUCUUGACAGAUUGUGAAGGAUGUGUUUUGAUAAUUUCCUUUAUCUCAUUGCUUAACCAUGCCAAAUAUUUCUAGCCCUAUUUCCCCUCCUCCCCCCCCUCAAAGUUAAUACACAUUUGAUCUAAGUAUUUCCUGUAAUAUCUUCAAGAAAUAUCUUUAUAGCUGACACCAAAGCAGGCAAUGGCUGCACAUCCAUCUUACCUGAUGAAUGAUUUUUCUCAGUUCUACUCCUAAUCAAUCGAGUUUAUCACAAACAGGAGGAAGACAAGUAAGUAUCUUAGAUCAGUUCAGUGGAGAGGUGCCAAAGAAAUACAACUGAAAGAUACCUGUUACCUGUA
Coturnix japonica (Japanese quail) is the source of this 2214-nucleotide RNA transcript. RefSeq lists it as uncharacterized. NCBI's taxonomy places the organism in Eukaryota, Metazoa, Chordata, Aves, Galliformes, Phasianidae. The record is from RefSeq and is a predicted model, not a curated record.